Molecule: transfer RNA, 87 nt
Filed under: Purpureocillium takamizusanense
Lineage: Eukaryota; Fungi; Ascomycota; Sordariomycetes; Hypocreales; Ophiocordycipitaceae
Description: tRNA-Ser
Source: RNAcentral
AGAGAAUUGGCCGAGGGGUUUAAGGCGGUAAGUUUGAGUUUUACUAGGUUAUUACUAACCACAUCCGUUCGAAUCGGAUAUUCUCUG